CCUACGGGUGGCAGCAGUAGGGAAUCUUCCAUAAUGGGCGCAAGCCUGAUGGAGCAACACCGCGUGAGUGAAGAAGGGUUUCGGCUCGUAAAGCUCUGUUGUUGGAGAAGAACGUGCGUGAGAGUAACUGUUCACGCAUUGACGGUAUCCAACCAGAAAGUCACGGCUAACUACGUGCCACCAGCCGCGGUAAUACGUAGGUGGCAUGCGUUAUCCGGUUUUAUUGGGCGUAAAGCGAGCGCAGGCGGUUGCUUAGGUCUGAUGGGAAAGCUUUCGGCUUAACCGAAGAAGGGCAUCGGAAACUGGGCGACUUGAGUGCAGAAGAGGACAGUGGAACUCCAUGUGUAGCGGGGGAAUGCGUAGAGAUAUGGAAGAACACCAGUGGCGAAGGCGGCUGUCUGGUCUGCAACUGACGCUGAGGCUCGAAAGCAUGGGUAGCGAACAGGAUUAGAUACCCUUGUAGUC
RNAcentral lists this ribosomal RNA (465 nucleotides) under uncultured bacterium. RNAcentral's name for it is "partial 16S ribosomal RNA". It matches the Rfam family "Bacterial small subunit ribosomal RNA", at positions 338 to 795 of the family's 1533-position model. The record is from RNAcentral.